RNAcentral lists this ribosomal RNA (253 nucleotides) under uncultured bacterium. Its description in RNAcentral is "partial 16S ribosomal RNA". It matches the Rfam family "Bacterial small subunit ribosomal RNA", at positions 524 to 776 of the family's 1533-position model. The record is from RNAcentral.
UACGAGGGGUGCAAGCGUUAUUCGGAUUUAUUGGGCGUAAAGGGUGCGUAAGUGGUAUGUUAAGUCUGUUGUUAAAUUUUCCGGCCUAACCGGAAGCCUGCAAUGGAAACUGGCGUACUUGAGGAUGGAAGAGGGAAGUGGAAUUCUCGGAGUAGCGGUAAAAUGCGUGGAUCUCGAGAGGAACACCGAUGGCGAAGGCAGCUUCCUGGUCCAUAUCUGACACUGAGGCACGAAAGCGUGGGGAGCAAACAGG